UGGGGGAUAUUGCACAAUGGGCGCAAGCCUGAUGCAGCGACGCCGCGUGGGGGAUGAAGGCCUUCGGGUUGUAAAUUUCUUUUGCUUUGAACAAGGCGCACUUUGGGGUGUGUUGAGUGUAGGGGUUGAUUAGCGCCGGCUAACUACGUGCCAGCAGCCGCGGUAAUACGUAGGGCGCGAGCGUUGUCCGGAAUUAUUGGGCGUAAAGGGCUUGUAGGUGGCUGGUUGCGUCUGUCGUGAAAGCUCAUGGCUUAACUGUGGGUUUGCGGUGGGUACGGGCUGGCUUGAGUGCAGUAGGGGAGGCUGGAAUUCCUGGUGUAGCGGUGGAAUGCGCAGAUAUCAGGAGGAAUACCGGUGGCGAAGGCGGGUCUCUGGGCUGUUACUGACACUGAGGAGCGAAAGCAUGGGGAGCGAACAGG
This 419-nucleotide ribosomal RNA is filed under the name bacterium. RNAcentral describes it as "partial 16S ribosomal RNA". It matches the Rfam family "Bacterial small subunit ribosomal RNA", at positions 355 to 776 of the family's 1533-position model. The record is from RNAcentral.